GAUGAACGCUGACAGAAUGCUUAACACAUGCAAGUCUACUUGAUCCUUCGGGUGAUGGUGGCGGACGGGUGAGUAACGCGUAAAGAACUUGCCCUGCAGUCUGGGACAACAUUUGGAAACGAAUGCUAAUACCGGAUAUUAUGUGAGUUUCGCAUGAAAUUCAUAUGAAAGCUAUAUGCGCUGCAGGAGAGCUUUGCGUCCUAUUAGCUAGUUGGUGAGGUAACGGCUCACCAAGGCGAUGAUAGGUAGCCGGCCUGAGAGGGUGAACGGCCACAAGGGGACUGAGACACGGCCCUUACUCCUACGGGAGGCAGCAGUGGGGAAUAUUGGACAAUGGACCAAAAGUCUGAUCCAGCAAUUCUGUGUGCACGAUGAAGUUUUUCGGAAUGUAAAGUGCUCUCAGUUGGGACGAAGUAAGUGACGGUACCAACAGAAGAAGCGACGGCUAAAUACGUGCCAGCAGCCGCGGUAAUACGUAUGUCGCAAGCGUUAUCCGGAUUUAUUGGGCGUAAAGCGCGUCUAGGCGGUUUGGUAAGUCUGAUGUGAAAAUGCGGGGCUCAACUCCGUAUUGCGUUGGAAACUGCCAAACUAGAGUACUGGAGAGGUGGGCGGAACUACAAGUGUAGAGGUGAAAUUCGUAGAUAUUUGUAGGAAUGCCGAUGAGGGAGCCAGCCCACUGGACAGAUACUGACGCUAAAGCUUUAAAGGGUGGGUAGCAAACAGG
RNAcentral lists this ribosomal RNA (724 nucleotides) under uncultured bacterium. Its description in RNAcentral is "bacterial SSU rRNA". It matches the Rfam family "Bacterial small subunit ribosomal RNA", at positions 28 to 776 of the family's 1533-position model. The record is from RNAcentral.